CAGUAUUAUACACCUAUUGACUGGGUGUGAGGGUAAUAGCAAGUUUGUUGUCCCUGAGGUACCAACUAUUGCUCGAGGCAAAGCCGAGAGCAAUAGUUGGUAUGCGAAGGGACAACAAACUUGCUAUUACCCGCACACCCAGUCAUUAGGUGUUUUAUUAUACUGAACAACACAGCCAUUAAGUAUUUUAUAUAUAUACCAAAUAAAUAAUUUUCUAAAAGUGUAUAUAUAUAUCAUCUGAAAGAAAACAAAAAUGUCACAUAACUUUAUAUGCACAUGAUGAACUAUACUUUUUUUUAUAAUUCGUUUUGUAUUAAUAAAUAUUUCAUUAAUUUCAAUCAAGACAAGAAAUACUUAUGUUAAACUUUCUGUGCUUAAAAAAAAUUCUAGCUAAAAUACACCAAACGCAAAUUCACUUUUUAUAUACGGAGAGCGAACCCAUAUUAAGAAUAAGGUACUAUAUUUUAGAUCUUUAAAAAAUUCCCAGUGAAGAUUUUUUUUUCUUUUUUAUAAUUGCUUCUUAUAAGUGAAAUUACAAUCAACACAAACAGAUUCCAUCGUUUACAAUAUUAGCGGGAGUUUGACGUUGCAAAGCAUACGUAACCAAGCAGAGUAGUCAAUGACAUCAUUAUCGUCCAAUGAAAAAUAAGCAUGAAAAGUACGGGAAAGAUGAUUAUGAAACUAUUAACCGGUGUAAUAGUCUUUGAAACUAUUGACUGGCAAAUGGUUCUGUGGAAUGAAAUAGCACAACUAUUUCAUUACUUUUUAUAUAGAAAAAACACACUGAAGUAUAAUAA
This 797-nucleotide long non-coding RNA is filed under the name Mytilus galloprovincialis (Mediterranean mussel). Lineage: Eukaryota; Metazoa; Mollusca; Bivalvia; Mytilida; Mytilidae. The record is from RNAcentral.